Long non-coding RNA from Ahaetulla prasina, 1566 nucleotides. RefSeq lists it as uncharacterized. The transcript is spliced from 3 exons. The record is from RefSeq and is a predicted model, not a curated record. NCBI's taxonomy places the organism in Eukaryota, Metazoa, Chordata, Lepidosauria, Squamata, Colubridae.
UUUGUGUUAUUUUUGUGUAAAGUGUGAUAGUUGGUUUUCCUGAUCACGACCACCAAGCCAUGCCCACAGAACCAGUAGGGAAAAUUUUUGAAUUUCACCAUUGGCAUAAAGUGUAAACUACCGAGCAGUACUUCAAGGUAGAAUGAGCCAGACAGGUCCAAUAAUAACAUUUUAAGAUAAAACAAAUUAGAAUCAUUAGGUAUUUAGUAAAAAAAUGGAAAUAACAACUUCUGGCAUGCUUCUGCAUGGAAGGAACAAUAAAGCAUAACAUGUUCUGUUAAUUCAAUCAUUCUACCACUGCAUGGGCAUAGUCUUUAUUGGAAGGGAAUAUUUUUGUAACUUCUUUCCGUUAAUAGUUGUUGUAAGCGCGUUGAAUCUAGGUAGAGAAGGCCCUUCUGAAUUUUGUGAUCAUUAUGUGACUGAGAUAUCUAGCUGGUUGGAGAUUAUGCAGAGUGGUUCAAGAUAGGUGUUUCUUGAGCCACUCUGGCUGAGAAGUUGGCUUGCAAUCGUAAAUGACCUGCUUUCUGAGAUCAGUUGGAGCACAUUCGUAGUCCAUCAAGAUGAUGGCCAUGAACAGCCAGAGAGCUGCAGUUUGGCUUGUAUUACCUGGCUCCAGGAGCACUGGAAGGUAUUGAUCAUCAUUAGAGAGGCCAGACCAACUGGAAAGAAAAAGAUCUUAAGCUGGUGGCAGAAGUUGUGAAUCCAGGUAGAUGUUUCAAUUUUGAGAAGGCUAGCAUCACCGUGAAGGACUGUAUUACAAAUGCAGGGAGGUUUUUGAAAGAUGGUUCUCAGAAAUUUAGAGUUCUUUCCAAGGGAAGAAAUGACUUGUAGGGGCUCAACUGAGCUCCAAAACAGAGCUGUGCUUGAGUCUUAGCUGAGAAGAGUUUAAUUGCUGCAGGUACAUAUGCUAGUAUACUUUAGAAAAGUAAAAGGAUUGUAAAAACCUGGUUUUUGUCAUUUAAUAUGACAUAGGAAGUAUGAGAUUUGCAUUUAUCUAUAGUUUGGAGACUAGAUUGGAAGAUAAUCUCCCAAAUAAUUAAAGACUUUCUUUAUUACAGGGGUCUGCAGCUGUAAACACUCAGAGCCAUUUGGACUCGUUUCCCACAGAAAACAAAACACCGAGAGCCACAAAACAUGGUCCGCAUAGAAAAGAAGAAAACUGACGUAUUUUGAGAGCCAGUAUUGGUUCCGUGGAAGUGGUAUUUGUCUCUCAGUUCUUCCAGAAUAAUACUAGAAUCACUAAAGAAUGAAGAAUAAAGAUGACCUACUUACCUGUGAUAGUCUUGUGGAAGAACUGGGCAGUAACGGCCGAGUGAAUUUUUUUUGAGAUCCAAUGGCAGCUGGAAAUGGUGGUGCGGAGAACAUGGCUGCUACCACAUUAAUCCGUGUGAUCCAGGAAUGCAUUUGUUCUGUGUUCCUGGAGUAAGAUGUAAAAGAGGUAUCAUUCUCUAAACCGUAUCAUGGGUCAAAACACCUUGCCAAAAUUGUUUCUUUCAAAAAAUAACUUGUUCUCAUAACUGUGCACAAAAGAAAUCCCCAUUUCUUUGUAGAAACUGAUAAAACAAU